Long non-coding RNA from Anas platyrhynchos (mallard), 1014 nucleotides. RefSeq lists it as uncharacterized. The record is from RefSeq and is a predicted model, not a curated record. NCBI's taxonomy places the organism in Eukaryota, Metazoa, Chordata, Aves, Anseriformes, Anatidae.
CCCGCGGCCUAGCGAUGGCGGCAGAGACCGGGGCCGGGAGCACCGGGGGGGGGGAGGCGGAAUCCGCGGGUCCCGGACCCCAGCCCCGGUACCGGCCCCGGCAGCCGCCCCCCGACCUGCCCCGGGAGCCGCGGUCGGGUGGGAUCCGGCCGGUACCGGGGGCCUGGAGCGGGGCUGGGGGGGCCCGGCCGUUAACGGGUGUUGGGUGAGGUGGGCCCGGCACCGGGUGCAUGGGCCUGUGGGGUGGGGGCGGGCACAGCUCGGCCUCCGCACCUCCAGCUCGUUAUCCCCGCUUAUAAUUCAUUAUUCCUUUGCUUCAUUACCUUAAUUACACGCCCCGGCGCUCCCUGCCUGUGGCGCGUUACCUCUGGGGUGAAUUAUUUUACCCCGCAGCCUUUGAUGUCUGCCCGGUGCUAAAUAAAACGUUUGUGCUCGUCCUCACAGGGCCCGGCCCGGCUGGAAGGCGGCGGCGAGGCUCCGGGUGUCAGCGUUUCCCUGCCCUGCAGCCUCUGGACAGGCAGCGGGAAGGCAGCAGGCCGCAGGCAGCACCGGAGCUGCUCCCUGCAGGGUUUGGGUGAGGCCCUGAGCACACAGGGGCACGGCCGAGCGCCUUCGGAGGCUUCCUGAGGGAACAUUCUCUGGCAGAUGUGGUGGUAGCCAGGCAGCAAGAAGAAGAUUGACAGGAGAAGAGGACUGGCACCGUGGAGGUUGUGAGCAGAGAGGAAAAAGGACGAGGUGUUUGCCUUAUUUUUAGAUCCUGUGAGCUACUGUUUGGCCAAAGGGCUGGUUUCUGAACCAAACCCAGGACAGAGCAUUAAUCUAGAAACUCAGCCAAAUCUGUAUGUGUGUCAGUGACUAAGCAAAGGCACGAUGCUGCCUUCUGGGCUGUAGGAGUCGUUUUGAUCAGCCAAGAGACUGCAGUGGUUCUACGCUUUGUCUCCUGUAUUGAUUCUCUGAAUAUACUUUGUCAUGUGCAUUUCAAUGCUAAGGAGUCUGUCAAAUAAAAAAAAACAA